GACGAACGCUGGCGGCGUGCUUAACACAUGCAAGUCGAACGGAAAGGCCCUGCUUUUGUGGGGUGCUCGAGUGGCGAACGGGUGAGUAACACGUGAGUAACCUGCCCUUGACUUUGGGAUAACUUCAGGAAACUGGGGCUAAUACCGGAUAGGAGCUCCUGCUGCAUGGUGGGGGUUGGAAAGUUUCGGCGGUUGGGGAUGGACUCGCGGCUUAUCAGCUUGUUGGUGGGGUAGUGGCUUACCAAGGCUUUGACGGGUAGCCGGCCUGAGAGGGUGACCGGCCACAUUGGGACUGAGAUACGGCCCAGACUCCUACGGGAGGCAGCAGUGGGGAAUAGUGCACAAAGGGCGGAAGCCUGAUGCAGCAACGCCGCGUGCGGGAUGACGGCCUUCGGGUUGUAAACCGCUUUCGCCUGUGACGAAGCGUGAGUGACGGUAAUGGGUAAAGAAGCACCGGCUAACUACGU
RNAcentral lists this ribosomal RNA (467 nucleotides) under uncultured bacterium. Its description in RNAcentral is "partial 16S ribosomal RNA". It matches the Rfam family "Bacterial small subunit ribosomal RNA", at positions 28 to 506 of the family's 1533-position model. The record is from RNAcentral.